UGGCAUCGUCUUGGGUCACCACUCGCGCGAACUUUGGAUCUGAACGUGUGGCUGUGAACCUGCUGCUACUUUCUGUCCCGUGCUUGUGAACGCGGAAGUGACAUCGGUCGGUAACACCCUCUGCUUGUCGCCCAUCUGGAAUUAAUCUACACACCUCAGGACGGGAAAGGGAAUGCGAUCUUUCCUACUCAACAUUUUAUUGAUUUGUCCGCAUCUUCCUUUGCUAGUCGACGCCAACCAAUCUUGCCGAAACGAAGGGUUUCAGGAGUAUACGGUGCGACUGAUUCUAAAGAGUAUGGCGGGAGCCGUGUGCGAACAAGAAAAUACAGCUAGUACAGAGCUGGCAGGGGAGCUGGAGGUGUUACAGGCCAUCUAUGGGGACGAAGUUCAGAGCGUGUCCGAUGGGAUUCACACCGAAGUUUUAAUGACCCUAGGGCAAGAGGGAAUCGGACUGCAGUUCAUGUUGACAGGUUUGUUAUACGAAUAUCAUAAACUACGUAGCAUAUUUUUUGUACUUUUAUCAUCAGUUUAAUGACAGAGGUUUAAAACAUUGAUUAUAAAAAUUUGAAAUUCAAACAUGCAUUAUCAAUCUUCAUUAUUGCAAUCAUAAUUUAUUGUUGUUAUAACGUAUUUUCAUCAUUGGGUGGGACGGCUACUCCACUGGUCCAUCCAUAGUGUGCCCAGUUCUAUUCUCUCAUAUAGAUUGCAAUUGUUGCAAAAAUACUCAGUGUAGAAACGUUGGUGUUGUAAUUCUUCAAACAUUUUACGUCGGUAGUUCUUCGCGUUCGAUUCGCUUAGCAAAUCAAAAUAACUAAAAAAAGUAUAACUGCAUCGGCCGGGAAUCGAACCCGGGCCUCCCGCGUGGCAGGCGAGAAUUCUACCACUGAA
Branchiostoma floridae (Florida lancelet) is the source of this 888-nucleotide long non-coding RNA. RefSeq lists it as uncharacterized. The record is from RefSeq and is a predicted model, not a curated record. The transcript is spliced from 3 exons. NCBI's taxonomy places the organism in Eukaryota, Metazoa, Chordata, Leptocardii, Amphioxiformes, Branchiostomatidae.